This 425-nucleotide ribosomal RNA is filed under the name uncultured bacterium. Its description in RNAcentral is "bacterial SSU rRNA". It matches the Rfam family "Bacterial small subunit ribosomal RNA", at positions 917 to 1341 of the family's 1533-position model. The record is from RNAcentral.
GGGCCCGCACAAGCGGUGGAGCAUGUGGUUUAAUUCGAUGCAACGCGAAGAACCUUACCUACUCUUGACAUCCAGCGAAGCUUGAAGAGAUUCGAGUGUGCCUUCGGGAACGCUGAGACAGGUGCUGCAUGGCUGUCGUCAGCUCGUGUUGUGAAAUGUUGGGUUAAGUCCCGCAACGAGCGCAACCCUUAUCCUUGUUUGCCAGCACGUAAUGGUGGGAACUCCAGGGAGACUGCCGGUGAUAAACCGGAGGAAGGUGGGGACGACGUCAAGUCAUCAUGGCCCUUACGAGUAGGGCUACACACGUGCUACAAUGGCAUAUACAGAGGGCAGCGAGACAGCGAUGUGAAGCGAAUCCCAGAAAGUAUGUCGUAGUCCGGAUUGGAGUCUGCAACUCGACUCCAUGAAGUCGGAAUCGCUAGUAA